Molecule: ribosomal RNA, 824 nt
Filed under: Paradilacra densissima
Lineage: Eukaryota; Metazoa; Arthropoda; Insecta; Coleoptera; Staphylinidae
Description: SSU rRNA
Rfam family: Eukaryotic small subunit ribosomal RNA
Source: RNAcentral
CACGGGGAGGUAGUGACGAAAAAUAACGAUACGGGACUCAUCCGAGGCCCCGUAAUCGGAAUGAGUACACUUUAAAACUUUUCCCGAGGAUCAAUUGGAGGGUAAGUCUGGUGCCAGCAGCCGCGGUAAUUCCAGCUCCAAUAGCGUAUAUUAAAGUUGUUGCGGUUAAAAAGCUCGUAGUCGAAUCUGUGUCCCGCGCCGCUGGUUCAUCGCUCGCGGUGUUUAACUGGCGUGUCUCGCGGGACGUCCUGCCGGUGGGCGCUCGUAUCGCUUCGGUGGUGCGUGGCCCAACUCGUAGCCGUCUCGCGCGGUUGCGAAUCCCAUCGCGGUGCUCUUUAUUGAGUGUCGAGGUGGGCCGGCACGUUUACUUUGAACAAAUUAGAGUGCUUAAAGCAGGCCAAUUUUGCCUGAAUAUUGUGUGCAUGGAAUAAUGAAAUAGGACCUCGGUUCUAUUUUGUUGGUUUUCGGAACCCCGAGGUAAUGAUUAAUAGGAACGGAUGGGGGCAUUCGUAUUGCGACGUUAGAGGUGAAAUUCUUGGAUCGUCGCAAGACGGACAGAAGCGAAAGCAUUUGCCAAAAACGCUUUCAUUGAUCAAGAACGAAAGUUAGAGGUUCGAAGGCGAUCAGAUACCGCCCUAGUUCUAACCAUAAACGAUGCCAGCUAGCGAUCCGCCGACGUUCCUCCGAUGACUCGGCGGGCAGCUUCCGGGAAACCAAAGCUUUUGGGUUCCGGGGGAAGUAUGGUUGCAAAGCUGAAACUUAAAGGAAUUGACGGAAGGGCACCACCAGGAGUGGAGCCUGCGGCUUAAUUUGACUCAACACGG